This 68-nucleotide transfer RNA is filed under the name Ictidomys tridecemlineatus (thirteen-lined ground squirrel). RNAcentral's name for it is "Spermophilus tridecemlineatus (thirteen-lined ground squirrel) tRNA". It matches the Rfam family "tRNA". Rfam says of the family: Transfer RNA (tRNA) molecules are approximately 80 nucleotides in length. Lineage: Eukaryota; Metazoa; Chordata; Mammalia; Rodentia; Sciuridae. The record is from Rfam by way of RNAcentral.
GGGGUUGUGGCUCAGUGGUGAGCGCUUGCCUAGCAUGUAUGAGGCACUAAGUUCAAUUCUCAGCACCA